This 172-nucleotide non-coding RNA is filed under the name Eubacterium sp. RNAcentral describes it as "Lysine sequence". It matches the Rfam family "Lysine riboswitch aptamer". From Rfam's summary of the family: Riboswitches are metabolite binding domains within certain messenger RNAs that serve as precision sensors for their corresponding targets. Allosteric rearrangement of mRNA structure is mediated by ligand binding, and this results in modulation of gene expression. This family includes riboswitches that sense lysine in a number of genes involved in lysine metabolism, including lysC. Lineage: Bacteria; Bacillati; Bacillota; Clostridia; Eubacteriales; Eubacteriaceae. RNAcentral also lists the same sequence under 1 other name. The record is from RNAcentral.
AAAUCAUAUAGAGGCAGCGAUGCGUCAGAGUAGGAGUAGGAGCCGGCAGGCAGUGAAAACUUUGAAAGGUAAUCAUCGCCGAAGGUGAUUUUCCGGCGGGGAAGUUAUCUGGGGUUAUCUGGAAAUACCGAUAACACUCCUUCAUGUAAGAUGAAGAGGAGCUAUUGACACU